GCGGGUGUAGCUCAAUGGUAGAGCUGAAGCUUCCCAAGCUUACGACGAGGGUUCGAUUCCCUUCACCCGCUCCA
This 74-nucleotide transfer RNA is filed under the name Neoundibacterium parvum. Its description in RNAcentral is "Undibacterium parvum tRNA-Gly". It matches the Rfam family "tRNA". Rfam says of the family: Transfer RNA (tRNA) molecules are approximately 80 nucleotides in length. Their secondary structure includes four short double-helical elements and three loops (D, anti-codon, and T loops). Further hydrogen bonds mediate the characteristic L-shaped molecular structure. tRNAs have two regions of fundamental functional importance: the anti-codon, which is responsible for specific mRNA codon recognition, and the 3' end, to which the tRNAs corresponding amino acid is attached (by aminoacyl-tRNA synthetases). tRNAs cope with the degeneracy of the genetic code in two manners: having more than one tRNA (with a specific anti-codon) for a particular amino acid; and 'wobble' base-pairing, i.e. permitting non-standard base-pairing at the 3rd anti-codon position. Lineage: Bacteria; Pseudomonadati; Pseudomonadota; Betaproteobacteria; Burkholderiales; Oxalobacteraceae. The record is from RNAcentral.